GUUCAUCCUGAGUUAAAAUUUUGUUAUCCCCGGAAGCAGAGAUGCACUGACUCUGGUGAUCUCAGUAUGAAUGUGUUAUGAAAUCUUCUAGGUGUCUUUGGUGGGGCCUGAGGGAGGGUAGGAAAGGUGACGAGGAAAAAGUAGAGGGAGCCUGAACACCCUGGGUCUCAGGUACGGAGUGAAGAAAUCACUAAGGUGAAAAGACAGGCUGGGGCCCAGGAGCUCGUCCAAGUCCUGAUGAACAAUAGGUCCUGGGCAACAUCACAGGCCACCAAACACACCUUCAGCCCCAGGGUCGAACAGGUGGUGGAAGAGCACAGCCAUCUUCAGGAAUAGAAAAGCAGAAAAAAGUGGGGAAGAUUUUCCAUCUUGAACUUGUGAGCUGGAGAACUACCAUUAGUAGCCCACCAAUAGGUUAUGGCUGAUGAGUCACUUCAUAACAUACUGAGAGCCACUUUUGACACUUCCAGAAAAGGCAGGUUAACAAAGCCCCUUGAUGGAAGGAAGACCCUCAUUGCCCAGUGUACCGAAGCCUCUUUGAACCUUGCUUAGACUGAACUGCAAAUGUCUUGACUGCUCUGGGCUCCUUAGUGCAACUCCUUCCCACAGAAGCCAUCAGGAGCCUGGUCCAGGAAGCUCCUCUCCUACACCUGCCUUAAAAGGCCCAGCUCUGCUGGGGAGUAAGGUUCAUGGGGGCCGUCCCAAUGCAAAAGGGAAUCUCUGCCAUCACCCACUGCAACCACAUGGUAGCCACUCUGCAGCCGGCAGGCGUGAGGCAUGCUGCGCUAACAUGGGAGGGCGGAGGCUCUGCCUGACUUCCCAGAAGCCCAGUGAGAAGUCCAGGACAAUCAGCAGGUGCUAUGGGA
RNAcentral lists this long non-coding RNA (866 nucleotides) under Homo sapiens (human). Its description in RNAcentral is "HSALNT0060451". Lineage: Eukaryota; Metazoa; Chordata; Mammalia; Primates; Hominidae. The record is from RNAcentral.